RNAcentral lists this ribosomal RNA (3027 nucleotides) under bovine gut metagenome. RNAcentral describes it as "Bacterial large subunit ribosomal RNA". It matches the Rfam family "Bacterial large subunit ribosomal RNA". The record is from RNAcentral.
AAGCUACAAGGGUGUAUGGUGAAUGCCUUGGUGUCAGAAGUCGAAGAAAGACGUGAUAAGCUGCGAUAAGCCUCGGGUAGGAGCAAAUAUCCUGUGAUCCGGGGAUUUCUGAAUGGGGAAACCCUUAUAUAUGAAAGUAUAUAAACAGUAAGAGGAAGGUUUGGCCUUCGGGCUUUAAGGUACUCUUAUAUGAGACAACCUAGGGAAGUGAAACAUCUCAGUACCUAGAGGAAAAGAAAUCAAAAGAGAUUCCCAAAGUAGUGGCGAGCGAAAUGGGAACAGUCUAAACCGUCCUCCGCACCUUAUCCAUUAAGGUGGAUAAAGUGCGUGGGGCGGGGUUGUAGGGCUUGUUCGGUUUAGAACCGGGAAGUUACCAAGUAUCACAUUAGUUGAAUAGUCUGGAAAGUCUAACCAUAGCAGGUGACAGUCCUUUAAACGAAAAUGUAGAUACCUUCCAACAAGUACCUGAGUACUACUGGGCACGUGCAAUCCGGUAGGAAUCUGGGGAGACCACUCUCCAAGACUAAACACUCUCUGACAACCGAUAGUGAACCAGUACCGCGAGGGAAAGGCGAAAAGAACCCCUAACGGGGAGUGAAAUAGAACCUGAAACCGUACAUCUACAAGCUGUAGUAGCACUAUGCCGUAGCAAUACGGAAUGUGCGACUGCGUGCCUGUUGAAGAAUGAUCCAGCGAGUUAAUAGGCCGAGCAAGGUUAAGGGCUGAAAAGGUCCGGAGCCGUAGUGAAAGCGAGCAUGAAAUAUGCGAUUAGUUCGUUCUAUUAGACCCGAAGCCAAGUGAUCUAACCCUGUCCAGGAUGAAGCUUGCGUAACAGCGAGUGAAGGUCCGGAGUGUUGAACGUUGAAAAGUUCCUACAUGAGGUGGGGUUAGGGGUGAAAGGCCAAUCGAACUUGGUGAUAGCUGGUUCUCCUCGAAAUAGCUUUAGGGCUAGCGUCGUAAUUUAACCCGGGGGGGUAAAGCACUGGUUGAUGUAGGGGAAGCGACCCUUCUUCCGAAUUCAGUCAAACUCUGAAUACCCCGGCGGAUAUUACGGCAGUCAGUUCGUGAGGGAUAAGCUUCACGUGCGAAAGGGAAACAGCCCAGACCGUCAAUUUAGGUCCCAAAAUGUAUGCUAAGUGGUAAAGGAUGUGGAUUUACUUAAACAGCUAGGAGGUUGGCUUAGAAGCAGCCAUCCUUUGAAGAGUGCGUAAUAGCUCACUAGUCGAGUGAAUCUGCGCCGAAGAUGACUCGGGGCUAAGCAUACUACCGAAAUUACGGGUUGCAGAGUGAUUCGUCAUUUUGCAGCGGUAGAGGAGCGUAAUUAACGCAGCGAAGGUAUACCGUAAGGAGUGCUGGAGCGUUAAUUAGUGAGAAUGCUGGAAUGAGUAGCGAUAAGGAAGGUGAGAAUCCUUCCCACCGAAAAUCCAAGGAUUCCUAGAGCAAUGUUCGUCAGCUCAGGGUUAGUCGGUCCUAAGCUCAGGCCGAAAGGCGUAGGCGAAAGGGCAUCCGGUUAAUAUUCCGGAACUAUGUUAAGUGCGUCAUCACUCAGGGAGGGACGCAGGAAGGUAAACCGGCCGGUUAGUGAUAUACCGGUGAAAGGUCGUAGAUAGGAUUGAUAGGCAAAUCCGUCAGUCCGUUAAGUCGAAAGCCGAUGCGGGUUUGUAGCAAUACAAGCGAAGCGGUCUAACUACACUGCCAAGAAAAUCUUCGUGGGGAGUGCUUAAUAUAACCGUACCGUAAACCGACACAGGUGGAUGGGUAGAAAAUACUAAGGUGCGCGAGAUAACCAUCGUCAAGGAACUAGGCAAACUAGCUCCGUAACUUCGGAAGAAGGAGUGCCUGAGUAGGGCUGUAGCAAUACAGUUUGAAAAGGUCGCAGUGAAAUGGGCUUCGUGACUGUUUAACAAAAACUUAGGGCUCUGCUGAAAUCACAAGAUGAUGUAUAGGGCCUGAUGCCUGCCCGGUGCCGGAAGGUCAAGGGGAAGGGUUAGCCGCAAGGCGAAGCUCCGAACUUAAGCCCCGGUAAACGGCGGCGGUAACUAUAACCGUCCUAAGGUAGCGAAAUUCCUUGUCGGGUAAGUUCCGACCUGCACGAAUGGCAUAACAAAGAAGCCGCUGUCUCGACGAUGGGCUCGGCGAAAUUGUGGUGCAAGUGAAGACGCUUGCUGCAUGCAACAAGACGAAAAGACCCUAUGGAGCUUUACUGUAACUUGUCAUUGAAAUACGGUUUACAAUACGUAGGAUAGCUGGGAGCCUUUGAAACAUUCCUUGAGGGGGGUGUGGAGGCAACGGUGAAAUACCAGCUUUUGUGGAUUGUGUUUCUAACUUAUACCCGUGAAUCCGGGUUGAGGACAUUGGCAGGCGGGCAGUUUGACUGGGGCGGUCGCCUCCUAAAGAGUAACGGAGGCGUUCAAAGAUUCUCUCAGAGUGAAUAGAAAUCACUCAUCGAGCGCAAAGGUAGAAGAGAGUUUGACUGCGAGGACGACGGUCCGAGCAGGUGCGAAAGCAGGACUUAGUGAUCCGGUGGUCCCUCGUGGGAGGGCCAUCGCUCAACGGAUAAAAGCUACCCUGGGGAUAACAGGCUGAUCGGGCCCAAGAGUUCACAUCGACGGCUCGGUUUGGCACCUCGAUGUCGGCUCAUCACAUCCUCCCGCUGAAGCAGGUGGGAAGGGUUGGACUGUUCGUCCAUUAAAGUGGUACGUGAGCUGGGUUCAGUACGUCGUGAGACAGUACGGUCUCUAUCUGUUGUAUGCGUAGGAAACUUGAGAGGAGUUGUCCAUAGUACGAGAGGGCCUGGAUGAACGAACCUCCUGUAUCUCAGUUGUCGUGUCAACGGCAUAGCUGAUUAGCGGUGUUCGGUAGGGAUAAGUGCUGAAAGCAUAUAAGCACGAAACCCGCCUCAAGAUAAGGUUUCCCUGGACUUUAUGUCCCAUAAGACCCCCGGAAGACUACCGGGUUGAUAGGCAGAAAGUGUACGCAUAGUAAUAUGUUUAGCUAAUCUGUACUAAUAGGUCGUGAGGCUUGGCC